GACGAACGCUGGCGGCGUGCUUAACACAUGCAAGUCGAACGGAAAGGCCCUGCUUUUGUGGGGUGCUCGAGUGGCGAAGGGGUGAGUAACACGUGAGUAACCUGCCCUUGACUUUGGGAUAACUUCAGGAAACGGGGGCUAAUACCGGAUAGGAGCUCCUGCUGCAGGGAGGGGGUUGGAAAGUUUCGGCGGGUGGGGAUGGACGCGCGGCUUAUGAGCUUGUUGGUGGGGUAGGGGCUGACCAAGGCUUGGACGGGUAGCCGGCCUGGGAGGGUGACCGGCCACCUUGGGCCUGCGAUCGGCCCCAGACGCCUACGGGUGACAUCGGUCGCAAGUCGUGCCCCAUGGGCCGCCGCCUGGUGCGACAGCGCCGCGUGCGUGAUGCCGGCCUUUGGGUCGUAAACCGCUUUCGCCUGUGACGACGCGUGAGUGACGGUAAUGGGUAAAGAAGCACCGGCUAACUACGUG
RNAcentral lists this ribosomal RNA (468 nucleotides) under uncultured bacterium. RNAcentral describes it as "partial 16S ribosomal RNA". It matches the Rfam family "Bacterial small subunit ribosomal RNA", at positions 28 to 507 of the family's 1533-position model. The record is from RNAcentral.